Molecule: ribosomal RNA, 253 nt
Filed under: uncultured bacterium
Lineage: Bacteria
Description: partial 16S ribosomal RNA
Rfam family: Bacterial small subunit ribosomal RNA
Source: RNAcentral
UACGUAGGUGGCAAGCGUUAUCCGGAAUUAUUGGGCGUAAAGAGCGCGCAGGUGGUUAAUUAAGUCUGAUGUGAAAGCCUUCGGCUUAACCGGAGUAGUGCAUUGGAAACUGGGAGACUUGAGUGCAGAAGAGGAGAGUGGAACUCCAUGUGUAGCGGUGAAAUGCGUAGAUAUAUGGAAGAACACCAGUGGCGAAAGCGGCUCUCUGGUCUGUAACUGACGCUGAGGUUCGAAAGCGUGAGUAGCAAACAGG